GCCGCAUGGCUUUGAUAUCAAAGGAGCAAUCCGCAAAAAGAUGGGCUCGCGUCCGAUUAGCUAGUUGGUGGGGUAAAGGCCUACCCAAGGCGACGAUCGGUAGCCGGACUGAGAGGUUGAACGGCCACAUUGGGACUGAGACACGGCCCAGACUCCUACGGGAGGCAGCAGUGGGGGAUAUUGCACAAUGGGGGAAACCCUGGUGCAGCAACGCCGCGUGAGGGAAGAAGGUUUUCGGAUUGUAAACCUCUGUCCUAGGUGAAGAAAGAAAUGACGGUAGCCUGGGAGGAAGCUCCGGCUAACUACGUGCCAGCAGCCGCGGUAAUACGUAGGGAGCGAGCGUUGUCCGGAAUUACUGGGUGUAAAGGGUGCGUAGGCGGCCUUGUGGGUCAGGCGUGAAAUACAUGGGCUUAACUCAUGGACUGCGCUUGAAACUAUAAGGCUUGAGUGAAGUAGAGGUAGGCGGAAUUCCCGGUGUAGCGGUGAAAUGCGUAGAGAUCGGGAGGAACACCAGUGGCGAAGGCGGCCUGCUGGGCUUUAACUGACGCUGAGGCACGAAAGCAUGGGUAGCAAACAGGAUUAGAUACCCUGGUAGUCCAUGCCGUAAACGAUGAUUACUAGGUGUGGGUGGUCUGACC
Molecule: ribosomal RNA, 638 nt
Filed under: uncultured bacterium
Lineage: Bacteria
Description: bacterial SSU rRNA
Rfam family: Bacterial small subunit ribosomal RNA
Source: RNAcentral